GACCAAACGGGGUCGAACUGAAAACUUAAAAUAUAUUCUUACUCAGUACGUAAAACCGAACAUGACUGUCAAGUUUGAGCUCAAACGGAUGUUUAGGGAGUUCCGGCGAAAGAUAUCAGAUUUCGAACUGCCCGGGAGUGAAUAGUGUUGUGGUGUUGACUAAAGAGGAGUGUUGACUCCUCUUCUUCUCCUUCAGCCGCACACACUCCACACACACACACGCGCGCGCAUGGAGGGGGAGGGAAACCGUCCCUUCUCUCUCUAGAGAUCUCUCUCAUCUCUCUAAAUCUCUCUCUAAAAAUUGGAGGGUUGGUGGAGAAGAUGCUUGCGAACGCGUUGGAGGCGACGGUUCGAGCUUUCGUGCGCCCGUUAGAGCGGCGUGUUUUCGUCGCGGCGUUCAUAUUGAGGUAAGCUUCUAGGAUUUGGCUUAAUCCUUAGUUUUAAGUGUUCUAAUAGCCUCUAAUGAGCAUUCUAAACAUGUUUGCUCCAUUUGAUUUGGAUUAUUUAGAGGUUAAUUGCAUGUUAGGGCUCCGAAUGGAAUUUUGUAAAAUAUGGG
This 556-nucleotide long non-coding RNA is filed under the name Ananas comosus (pineapple). RNAcentral's name for it is "long non-coding RNA (ACOM_LNC034831)". Lineage: Eukaryota; Viridiplantae; Streptophyta; Magnoliopsida; Poales; Bromeliaceae. The record is from RNAcentral.